ACGAACGCUGGCGGCUGCUUAACACAUGCAAGUCGAACGGAGUGGCGAACGGGUGAGUAACGCGUGAGCAACCUGCCUAUGACAGCGGGAUAGCCUCGGGAAACCGGGAUUAAUACCGCAUAGUCAUAGAUGGGCUCGCGUCUGAUUAGCUAGUUGGUGAGAUAACAGCCCACCAAGGCGACGAUCAGUAGCCGGUCUGAGAGGAUGGGCGGACACAUUGGAACUGGGACACGGUCCAGACUCCUGCGGGAGGCAGCAGAGGGGAAUAUUGCACAAUGGGGGAAACCCUGAUGCAGCGACGCCGCGUGAACGAAGAAGGUAUGCGUAUCGUAAAGGUCUGUACUAUGGGAAGCGGUACCAUAGAGAAAAGCUCCGGCUAAAUACGUGCCAGCAGCCGCGGUGAUUC
This 406-nucleotide ribosomal RNA is filed under the name uncultured bacterium. Its description in RNAcentral is "partial 16S ribosomal RNA". It matches the Rfam family "Bacterial small subunit ribosomal RNA", at positions 29 to 526 of the family's 1533-position model. The record is from RNAcentral.